Cyprinus carpio (common carp) is the source of this 407-nucleotide long non-coding RNA. RefSeq lists it as uncharacterized. The record is from RefSeq and is a predicted model, not a curated record. NCBI's taxonomy places the organism in Eukaryota, Metazoa, Chordata, Actinopteri, Cypriniformes, Cyprinidae. The transcript is spliced from 4 exons.
GACAACGCACACACCUGCAUUUGGAGUUGUACUUCUUUGCCUGCCUAGCCUACAUUACUUGAAGGAUGUGUUAGUCACGACAUACAUUCAGAAGGCGGUACCCACUUUGAAAAGGCAGCAUUAAUUGGUUUAAUUGCAGCGGCUAAUGAACUGGAAGUCUCGGCCAUAGGCUUACUUAUGCGUUGAAGAAUAAGAAAUUCACCUGAAAAUGUCAAACAUUUGGAUGGAAACCUAGCGUCAACCUAUUAAGUGAAUGCUUUUCCAACUGGGUCAAGUGUCAAGUCUGCAGCACAGGGCGUGGCCGUCGCCUCAUCAGCCACUCCCAACCUCGUCUAAGCCCCUCCCCUAUUCGCUGUCAGACAUAGGCCGAUUCGCUAGACUGGGUGCGGCCCAGGUUGGGCACUGAG